AGGCACCAGACGCGAUUCAAGAUUCAAGUUCCAAGAGGCAAGAUCCGAGAUUCGGUGUUCGAGGCCCACGCCCGUCUCCCAGAAGGCAGCGACACUAUUUCAUCCCGUCGCGUCCCAACGGAUCCGGCGACGCGACGAUGUCUCGGUUUGAGUAUUAUGAUAAUUACCGGCCUGCGACUGUGUGGACUGGAAUUCGGCAAUUAUUGUGCUCGCAAGAAGGAGAGGGAACGGGAAUCACGAGGCGCUUUAAACCUUCGGAUGCGAAUUCCGAGCGCAUGUAUCGCGUUCCUCGACCGAUCGGCAAGGAUUCCGGAUACGGAUCGGUCGGAGAUGACGCAGAUGUUUGUCCAUCCAGUUCAGGCUCACUGACAUCUCGUCCCGGAACACGUGCUAUUUUCAUUUUUCAACACAAUUUUUACACCUACGUCGCAUCGUACCUGCAAACAUGUAUAAGUUGUUCACUCGGCGAUACCGUAUAACUCUCGACCAGAAUUGAGGAAAAAGGAAAGACGUUAAGAUUCGUAUUGUUCACAACGUAGUGAAUGCUGCCAUUUGAAAGUGAAUCAGACGUGCUGAGAAAAUCCCUUGUCGAAACGAACGACGAUACGAGACAAUAGGAAAAAAAAUUAAAAUGGACAGUAAUGUAAUUUCGUCGUUUACCGCGGUAUGAAAAUUUUGAACAAGGUGGAAAUGUUACCGAACUAUAAAGCUUUACAAUUUUGAAGAAAUUAGCAAAACUAUGGAACAUGUGCGACUAUGUAAUGUUUAUUCACAUUGUUACGUAAGUCAUUAAAGACAAAAACAGAGAGAAUGAAAAAAAGAACGUCAUCAUGUUGAUAAAUAGCUGACAAUGAGAUAUGUGGUAUCAAAGUUGACUACGCAAAAACACACUUCUUCAUUCCAAAACAUCAUAAUGUGUCAGAAUUCCGACAGACUGUGCCGCUUACAAUUAGUUGAAUCCCUACGCUAGAAAUUUUUCCAAGCAAUGGUGUUCAAAUUCUACGAUAAAGUGCAAGUACGAGACAAUUAAGUAAAGAACUGCUCAUGCUUGUCUAAAAAUUACAAAGCAUAACGAACCAUGAUCUAAAAUCGAUUUUUAUGUACCGAAAUCGUACACAACGGUAUCCAACAUAAUGCAGGUGUAGAUGUGUGAAACAUUUAUUCAGGUAUGAGAUGUACGUGAAAGCCGAAAAGAUAAGAUUUAACGGGUUUCCUGGCAGACAGGAAAGGCCAGCAACUCGGUCGAGGAAAUGCCUCUGAUCAACAUUCUUCUCGGUCACCCACGUGCAGGCAAUGAACUCAUUCCGCAGCAUCUUAUGCUUCACAAUUUAUAUCACGACUCAAGAACCGGCCUUCAAAUGGCCGGACGAGAUCAAGGGAAUUCAUUCCCUCUUCUGAAAACUGGAUCCUUCCCUUCUUACCACAUUCAAGCUGCAAAUCGGUGCCACAAUGGUCAAAAUGCCCAUCUUCUCUCGUCACUGCCGGCUAGAGGUUGCAUUUUUAUGAUCCUUUUAAAUGUACCUUCACUCUCUGUGAUUACUUUUCGUAUUAGCUUGUCGGAUGAGUUUGCAGGUAUGUAUGAUAAAUUCGGGAGGUACGUGUUUCUAUGAUUAAGUUGAUGAUGUAUACUGCAGUGAUGUACAAGGAUAUAAAUGUUUGUUGACCUAUCGUCGUCUAUAGCUGGUCGCGAGCUUCUGUAGGAGUGGAUCCUGUUUCGGUUUAUAAAAAAUGCUGAGAGUUGCGCUGUGUCACAGUUGCAAUCAGACCCGAAGUGACAGUCUUCGCGGCGAUAAAUCGUGGAAUUGCAAUGAGUUCGCUGUCUUUUCUAGUGGCACCAAGCCAGAAGACGAACAAAGAAUUAAGUCAAACGUUGCGUACAUGGAUGUUACUUAACCAACGAUCGGGUAACGGUGCGACGUUCAAAUUGAUGACAAGCCAUGAACAACAGAACUGAUACAACCGUUGUCGAAAGUUAGAGGAAAGAAAGAAACCAGAGAUCCAAUCUACGGCGUAAUUCGUUCAAAAAAGGAACCUCACUGCGAAGCGUUGCGUAAUUGAAUAGCACGCUGUUAUAAUCUGAAUCUGCAAGGUCUUUCGAAGAGGAACUCGCAGGAAUUUGAAUGCCCGAAAAAUGGAUACCCCCACCGUCAUCCCGUCUCAGGAAUCUAUGAAGGAUUACGCAGUUAAUUAAUACGAAUUGCUUGCUGAUGAAAAAAAAUCAUGCCUUAAAUCAUUCGGCAAAUUGCUUCGGGCUCAUCGCGCUUGCAUCAGAUUCUUUCAUUAAGAUGUUUUGACUUUUAUAGUAGGUAUGAUUUUUCAAGGGUAAGAUUAUUGACACAGUUGUACAGGUAUACCGAGAAACCAUCAUGUUAUUUACACUGUUCAUUCUAAUUUCGAUAAUGCGUUUAUUAAUUAAAGUGGAAUUGUAAAAUUACAGCGAAGACCAUCUAAGGUUGGCAAUAAAAUUUCCAAUUAUUUUGUAA
This 2483-nucleotide long non-coding RNA is filed under the name Neodiprion pinetum (white pine sawfly). RNAcentral describes it as "uncharacterized LOC124215353, transcript variant X1". Lineage: Eukaryota; Metazoa; Arthropoda; Insecta; Hymenoptera; Diprionidae. The record is from RNAcentral.